CGGCGGACGGGUGAGUAAUGUAUGGGGAUCUGCCUGAUGGCGGGGGAUAACUACUGGAAACGGUAGCUAAUACCGCAUAACGUCGCAAGACCAAAGAGGGGGACCUUCGGGCCUCUUGCCAUCGGAUGUGCCCAGAUGGGAUUAGCUUGUAGGUAAGGUAACGGCUUACCUAGGCGACGAUCCCUAGCUGGUCUGAGAGGAUGACCAGCCACACUGGAACUGAGACACGGUCCAG
Molecule: ribosomal RNA, 235 nt
Filed under: uncultured bacterium
Lineage: Bacteria
Description: partial 16S ribosomal RNA
Rfam family: Bacterial small subunit ribosomal RNA
Source: RNAcentral